RNAcentral lists this transfer RNA (75 nucleotides) under Pseudomonadota bacterium. RNAcentral describes it as "Proteobacteria bacterium tRNA-Glu". It matches the Rfam family "tRNA". Rfam says of the family: Transfer RNA (tRNA) molecules are approximately 80 nucleotides in length. Their secondary structure includes four short double-helical elements and three loops (D, anti-codon, and T loops). Lineage: Bacteria; Pseudomonadati; Pseudomonadota. RNAcentral also lists the same sequence under 1 other name. The record is from RNAcentral.
GGUCCCAUCGUCUAUCGGUUAGGACACGUGGUUUUCAUCCUCGAAAGAGGGGUUCGAUUCCCCUUGGGACCGCCA